RNAcentral lists this ribosomal RNA (253 nucleotides) under uncultured bacterium. Its description in RNAcentral is "partial 16S ribosomal RNA". It matches the Rfam family "Bacterial small subunit ribosomal RNA", at positions 524 to 776 of the family's 1533-position model. The record is from RNAcentral.
UACGUAGGGUCCGAGCGUUGUCCGGAGUGACUGGGCGUAAAGCGCGCGCAGGCGGCCCGCGAGGUGUCCUGUGAAAGCCCCGUGCUCAACGCGGGAGGGUCAGGGCAAACCGGCGGGCUUGAGGCCGGUAGAGGUGGGUGGAACUCCUGGUGGAGUGGUGAAAUGCGUAGAGAUCAGGAAGAACACCCGUGGCGAAGGCGGGACUCUGGGCCGAUACUGACGCUGAGGAGCGAAAGCGUGGGGAGCAAACAGG